CUUUGGUUGUUCUUCCUGUAUUAAUGGAUCCAGAAAAAAUCUUGAUUUGGAAUGUAAGGGGUUUAAAUUCCUCUGCUCGCCAGAAUUCGGUUAGGGAGUUGGUGUCCUCUUCACGAGCGGAUAUUGUGUGCGUUCAAGAAACAAAAUUAACUGAAGUCCCGCGACGAACCUUGUUGUCCAUGCUUGGAUCAGAUUUUUCAAAUUUUCUGGUUCUACCUUCUCUUGGAGCUAGUGGUGGGAUUUUAGUUGCCUGGAAACAUCAUCUGGGGAGCACAGGCCUUAACAGAAUUGAUGAUCACAGUAUCUCAGUCCAGUUCUGCACACAAGAGGGGCAAGCCUGGUGGCUAACUUGUGUAUAUGGACCGCAGAGUAGUGAAGAAAAAGUUCAGUUUCUGCAGGAACUAAGAAAUGUCAGAGCAGCUUGUCUUGGUCCAUGGAUAAUUGCAGGGGACUUCAAUCUCAUAUACAAAGCUGAAGACAAAAAUAAUUCUAAUCUUAAUCGUGCAAUGAUGGGUCGCUUUAGAAGGACCAUUGAUGAUUUAUCUCUUAAGGAGAUCCCCCUUCAUGGACGCAAAUACACAUGGUCCAACCAGCAAAACAUACCUACCUUGGUGAAGCUUGAUAGAGUCAUGUGUUCUACUGAUUGGGAGGACUUGUUCCCUAAUGUUUUGCUGCAGAGUUCAGCUUCUGAAGUGUCUGACCACUGCCCUUUACUGCUUGGUCUUCGGGAUAACAGGUCAGGAAAGCGAAGAUUCCAUUUUGAAUCUUUCUGGCCAAAGCUAGAUGGAUUCCAGGAGGCUGUUCAGGAGGCAUGGAACUCAGUCCCUGCCUUGGAGUGUCCUUUCCAAGCUCUAGACAGAAAACUUAAGGCGACAGCAAAAAGAUUGCAAAGCUGGAGCGAUAGUAGAGUGGGACACGUGAACUCCCAACUUGCCCUUGCUCGUGAGGUGCUGCAUAGGUUGGAGAUUGCACAAGAUGCUCGAUCCUUAUCGCUAAGCGAAAAUUGGCUCAAAAAUAAAUUGAAGAAGCACUCCCUUGGACUUGCCUCAUUAAAGCGCACCAUCGCCCGUCUAAGAUCUAGAGUUUCUUGGCUCAAAGAAGGUGAUGCUAAUACGAAAUUGUUUCAUAUGCAUGCCCGUCACCGGAAAAGAAAAAAUUUUGUGGCAAGAUUGGUUGCUGACAACCAGGUUUUCACUGGACAUAAUGAGAAGGCCAUUCUAAUGGAUCAAUUUUUUUCCAAUCUGCUGGGUGUCAGCAUUGACAGAGAUUGCUCUGUCAAUCUUGAAGCUGUGGGAGUUCCAACCUUUGAUUUGGCUGCUCUGGACUUGCCUUUCUUGGAGAAAGAAGUGUGGGAAACAGUUAAAUUGUUGCCUUCAGAUAAGGCUCCGGGUCCUGAUGGUUUCACAGGAGGAUUUUAUAAAGCCUGCUGGUCUAUAAUUAAAGGGGAUAUAAUGGCAGCAGUUUCAGCAGUUUGGAGCAGGAGAUUUGCGCAGUUCAAUAGGCUGAACACAGCGUACAUCACAUUGAUCCCAAAGAAGGAGGGGGCCGAUCAAGUAAAAGACUUCAGACCAAUUAGCCUGGUACAUAGCUUCGCAAAACUGAUCACCAAGCUGCUAGCUAAUCGCCUAGCUGGAAGGUUAAAUGAGAUGAUUUCACCCAUUCAAAGUGCUUUUAUAAAAGGCCGUUUUAUUCAGGAUAACUACAUGUUAGUUCAGCAAACUGCAAGGCUCCUCCAUCGACGAAGACAGGCCCAUUUGCUUCUGAAAUUGGACAUCACAAAAGCCUUUGAUUCUGUCUCCUGGCCUUUUCUCAUAGAGGUAUUACAAAGGAUGGGAUUUGGACAGAUUUGGAGGGAUAUUCUAUGUGGGCUGCUUGCAACCUCUUCCACUCAAGUGAUGGUAAAUGGGUUUCCGGGUAAACAUAUUGUUCAUCGUCAAGGACUACGACAGGGUGACCCCCUCUCACCGAUGCUCUUCAUUCUAGUCAUGGAUGUGCUUGGGCGAAUGGUCACUGCAGCUGAAGGGGCAGGACUUCUUCAACCCCUUGCUACAAGAUCUGUGCAUCACCGAGUCUCUAUGUAUGCUGAUGAUGUAGUCCUCUUCUUGCGACCAGCUGCCGAAGAUAUAGCAACCAUAGUGGAUAUUCUUCACCUAUUCGGCGAGGCUUCUGGGCUACAUAAUAAUGCCCAGAAAUCUAAUGUAUAUCCCAUUCGUUGCGACGAGAGUGACAUUGCAGUUGUGCAAGGUUUGCUGCCGUGUGGAAUUUCGUCCUUUCCCUGUAAAUAUCUUGGACUUCCAUUAACGCUGCGAAAGAUAACCAAGGAUCAGGCGCAACCAAUUAUUGACAAAUUUGCAAAUCAGCUUCCUGGGUGGAAGGCAGACUUGAUGACAAGGGCUGGGAGAACAGUUCAAGUGCGGUUUGUGCUUACUGGGAUGCUCAUCUACUUAGCAAUGGCAAUUGAUCUCCCAACUUAUAUCACAAAAGCAAUCGAUAAAAUCCGAAGAGGCUUUCUUUGGAGAGGUCGCAAAGAGAUAAAUGGGGGGCAUUGUCUUGUUUCUUGGAGCAAAGUUUGUCGGCCUCUUGAUUUGGGUGGUCUUGGUAUUUCAAGCAUUAUGGAGCUGAGUUGGGCGCUGCGGAUGCGUUGGUUAUGGCUGCAAAAAACGGAGCCUAACCGACCUUGGUCAUCCUUGACUAUUCGAGUUCCGGACAAGGUCCAGGCCUUCUUCAGUAUGGCGAUGCAAACGGAAGUUGGGAAUGGUGCUAAUACUCUUUUUUGGAAGGAUCGAUGGCUUCAAGGACAGAGGGUGGCAGAUAUUGCGCCAAGACUUCUUCAAGUUGUUCCGAAAAGAAAAAUCAAUACAAGGACAGUCCAAGAAGCUAUUACUGGAAGAGCAUGGAUGUCGGAUAUUCGAGGGGCCCUAUCUGUGGGGGCAAUUGUUGAUUAUCUUCACCUUUGGAACUUAUUGUUAACUGCUGAAUUAAGACCGAAUGUUGAAGAUAAGCACAUUUUUAGGUUGGCUGCCAAUGGAAAAUAUUCAGCGAAAUCUGCCUACGAGGGGCUAUUCAUUGGCUCGAUUCCUUUUGAACCGUACGAAAGGAUAUGGAGAACCUGGGCGCCUCCUAAAUGUCGGUUUUUUAUGUGGUUAGUUGCUCAAAAAAGAUGUUGGACAGCUGAUCGUCUUGCAAAAAGAGGAUUGGAUCACCCUGAUAGUUGCCCUCUUUGUGAACAAGAAAGUGAAACGAUAGACCAUCUUCUGGUCUCUUGUGUUUUCUCAAGGGAGUGCUGGUUCCUUUUGUUGAGACAAUUUGGACUGCAUAAUCUAUCCCCUCAACCAGAAAAUGACAGUUUCCUGGACUGGUGGAGGACAAUAAGUGAAAUGGCAGCUGGACAAAUGAAGAUGGGGAUUAACUCCCUUGUUUUGCUUGGUGCAUGGAUCUUAUGGAAGCACCGCAAUCAGUGUGUCUUCGAGGGCGGCAGUCCGAGUGUUGCUGCUGUUCUGGAGCAGGUUGGAGAAGAGCGAAGGUUGUGGGAGAUGGCAGGGGCUAAGGGGCUUAUCUUCCUAGCAGCUAACCUUCCUCACGGCUAAUUUCUGUUCAAGGGUUUGUUUGUUUUUUUUUAUCUGUUUUUUUGAGGAGUUUAAACCUCAGUGUUAUGGUUUGUAAGGGCUUCGGCCCCGACUUUUUUCUUCUUCUUAAAUAUAAUGAUAUGCAGCUCUCCUGCAUAUUCGAGAAAAAAAAAGACAAGAGGUAUCUCUGAUGAAGAAACUACGUCAUCCAAAUAUUAUACUCUUCAUGGGAGCAGUUGCAUCUCCAGAACGACUUUGUAUUGUUACAGAAUUUCUUCCACGGGGGAGUUUGUUCCGCUUACUUCAAAAGAACACUGCCAAGCUGGAUCCAAGACGACGAGUUCACAUGGCUAUAGACAUU
This is an RNA transcript of Zea mays, 3927 nucleotides long. It is a transcript of the gene named dual specificity protein kinase shkE, with no coding region annotated. The record is from RefSeq and is a predicted model, not a curated record. NCBI's taxonomy places the organism in Eukaryota, Viridiplantae, Streptophyta, Magnoliopsida, Poales, Poaceae. The transcript is spliced from 3 exons.